This 497-nucleotide ribosomal RNA is filed under the name uncultured bacterium. Its description in RNAcentral is "partial 16S ribosomal RNA". It matches the Rfam family "Bacterial small subunit ribosomal RNA", at positions 28 to 507 of the family's 1533-position model. The record is from RNAcentral.
GAUGAACGCUGGCGGCGUGCCUAAUACAUGCAAGUCGAGCGAACAGACGAGGAGCUUGCUCCUCUGACGUUAGCGGCGGACGGGUGAGUAACACGUGGAUAACCUACCUAUAAGACUGGGAUAACUUCGGGAAACCGGAGCUAAUACCGGAUAAUAUCUUUAACCGCAUGGUUCAAUAGUGAAAGACGGUUUUGCUUUCACUUAUAGAUGGAUCCGCGCCGCAUUAGCUAGUUGGUAAGGUAACGGCUUACCAAGGCGACGAUGCGUAGCCGACCUGAGAGGGUGAUCGGCCACACUGGAACUGAGACACGGUCCAGACUCCUACGGGAGGCAGCAGUAGGGAAUCUUCCGCAAUGGGCGAAAGCUUGACGGAGCAACGCCGCGUGAGUGAUGAAGGUCUUCGGAUCGUAAAACUCUGUUAUUAGGGAAGAACAAAUGUGUAAGUAACUAUGCACGUCUUGACGGUACCUAAUCAGAAAGCCACGGCUAACUACGUG